UGCAGUCGAGCGAACAGAUAAGGAGCUUGCUCCUUUGAAGUUAGCGGCGGACGGGUGAGUAACACGUGGGUAACCUACCUAUAAGACUGGGAUAACUUCGGGAAACCGGAGCUAAUACCGGAUAACAUUUAGAACCGCAUGGUUCUAAAGUGAAAGAUGGUUUUGCUAUCACUUAUAGAUGGACCCGCGCCGUAUUAGCUAGUUGGUAAGGUAACGGCUUACCAAGGCGACGAUACGUAGCCGACCUGAGAGGGUGAUCGGCCACACUGGAACUGAGACACGGUCCAGACUCCUACGGGAGGCAGCAGUAGGGAAUCUUCCGCAAUGGGCGAAAGCCUGACGGAGCAACGCCGCGUGAGUGAUGAAGGGUUUCGGCUCGUAAAACUCUGUUAUUAGGGAAGAACAAAUGUGUAAGUAACUGUGCACAUCUUGACGGUACCUAAUCAGAAAGCCACGGCUAACUACGUGCCAGCAGCCGCGGUAAUACGUAGGUGGCAAGCGUUAUCCGGAAUUAUUGGGCGUAAAGCGCGCGUAGGCGGUUUCUUAAGUCUGAUGUGAAAGCCCACGGCUCAACCGUGGAGGGUCAUUGGAAACUGGGAAACUUGAGUGCAGAAGAGGAAAGUGGAAUUCCAUGUGUAGCGGUGAAAUGCGCAGAGAAUAUGGAGGAACACCAGUGGCGAAGGCGACUUUCUGGUCUGUAACUGACGCUGAUGUGCGAAAGCGUGGGGAUCAAACAGGAUUAGAUACCCUGGUAGUCCACGCCGUAAACGAUGAGUGCUAAGUGUUAGGGGGUUUCCGCCCCUUAGUGCUGCAGCUAACGCAUUAAGCACUCCGCCUGGGGAGUACGACCGCAAGGUUGAAACUCAAAGGAAUUGACGGGGACCCGCACAAGCGGUGGAGCAUGUGGUUUAAUUCGAAGCAACGCGAAGAACCUUACCAAAUCUUGACAUCCUUUGAAAACUCUAGAGAUAGAGCCUUCCCCUUCGGGGGACAAAGUGACAGGUGGUGCAUGGUUGUCGUCAGCUCGUGUCGUGAGAUGUUGGGUUAAGUCCCGCAACGAGCGCAACCCUUAAGCUUAGUUGCCAUCAUUAAGUUGGGCACUCUAGGUUGACUGCCGGUGACAAACCGGAGGAAGGUGGGGAUGACGUCAAAUCAUCAUGCCCCUUAUGAUUUGGGCUACACACGUGCUACAAUGGACAAUACAAAGGGCAGCUAAACCGCGAGGUCAUGCAAAUCCCAUAAAGUUGUUCUCAGUUCGGAUUGUAGUCUGCAACUCGACUACAUGAAGCUGGAAUCGCUAGUAAUCGUAGAUCAGCAUGCUACGGUGAAUACGUUCCCGGGUCUUGUACACACCGCCCGUCACACCACGAGAGUUUGUAACACCCGAAGCCGGUGGAGUAACCAUUUAU
Molecule: ribosomal RNA, 1409 nt
Filed under: bacterium
Lineage: Bacteria
Description: bacterial SSU rRNA
Rfam family: Bacterial small subunit ribosomal RNA
Source: RNAcentral